Macadamia integrifolia is the source of this 706-nucleotide long non-coding RNA. RefSeq lists it as uncharacterized. NCBI's taxonomy places the organism in Eukaryota, Viridiplantae, Streptophyta, Magnoliopsida, Proteales, Proteaceae. The record is from RefSeq and is a predicted model, not a curated record. The transcript has 2 exons.
CCAUUGAAAAUAAAAGGUUCCGUGGUUCUUUAAUGGCUCUAAGUAAUCUUCCCUAACGUAUUGAACCUCCAUCUAUCUUACCCUUCUUCCACCCAGACCUAGUUUCAGCAGGAGAGACUAAGCCAGGCCUUUUUGCCUGGUUCAAGAUGCCAUAGAAAUUAGGAAUAGAGACCCCCCCUUCUUCACCAAAAAGGGGGGGGGGGGAAUCACAGUUGCAUGCCCAGCAGACCCACUCUAAAUUCAACAACAAUAAAGAAGGGAAGGGAAAGAACGGCAGCAGAACCAAGAAGAUGAUGAAAUGUAGAACAGAUCACACCCAAUGGCAGUCUUCCGUACAUGCAUUAUGUGGUUCAGUCAAUCAAGCAUAAACUAUACACUAAUGAAUAUGGUUGUUUCUAUGCCAAUUGGUCCAAUACUGUGCUUCUAUACAUUUAAUAGUUUUCACGGCACCUAAGCAAUGUCAAGUCAGGGCCAAGGUGAGCUCCAUGUUCUAUACCCCAGGCCAGAGGUAAAACUGAUAUUAUAUAAACUUGUAAAGGGUGAACAUAUGGAGGGCCCAAGCCUGGGUUUUUAGGUCUGGGUGCCUUAAUACAUUAGGCAAUCGGUAGCCUUGGGCACCAAGGAAUGCCUUGUGAGUCUAGGCAAUGUAUUGACAGCUCUGAUACCAAACUUAAUCUAAUGAAGUAGCAUUCUGAACAUACAAAAA